GACUGGUGACAGAGUGAGGGAGGGGGUGACUAGUGACAGAAGAAGGGAGGGAGUAGUGACAGAAGGAGGGAGGGAGUAGUGACAGAGGGAGGUGGUGACUAGUGACAGUCACCCCCUCUCUCACUCUGUCACUAGUCACCCCCUCUCUCACUCUGUCACUAGUCAC
Non-coding RNA from Pelobates cultripes (western spadefoot toad), 166 nucleotides. NCBI's taxonomy places the organism in Eukaryota, Metazoa, Chordata, Amphibia, Anura, Pelobatidae. The record is from the annotation of a GenBank genome assembly.